AGCGUAGGCGGUCUUUUAAGUGGGGUGUGAAAUCCCUGGGCUUAACCCAGGAAUUGCAUUCCAUACUGGGAGACUAGAGUGCAGGAGAGGAAAGUGGAAUUCCAAGUGUAGCGGUGAAAUGCGUAGAGAUUUGGAGGAACACCAGUGGCGAAGGCGACUUUCUGGACUGUAACUGACGCUGAGGCUCGAGAGCGUGGGGAGCAAACAGGAUUAGAUACCCUGGUAGUCCACGCUGUAAACGAUGAAUACUAGGUGUUGGGGGCGAAGCCCUCAGUGCCGCAGUUAACACAUUAAGUAUUCCGCCUGGGGAGUACGAUCGCAAGAUUAAA
RNAcentral lists this ribosomal RNA (329 nucleotides) under uncultured bacterium. RNAcentral describes it as "bacterial SSU rRNA". It matches the Rfam family "Bacterial small subunit ribosomal RNA", at positions 568 to 898 of the family's 1533-position model. The record is from RNAcentral.